Molecule: long non-coding RNA, 199 nt
Filed under: Gossypium barbadense (sea-island cotton)
Lineage: Eukaryota; Viridiplantae; Streptophyta; Magnoliopsida; Malvales; Malvaceae
Description: long non-coding RNA (GBAR_LNC015434)
Source: RNAcentral
AGGGAUUGAAAAUUUUGAAGCUAAGGUUCGUGUUGGUAAGUUGACGUAUGCAGCUGAAGUUUACUUGGGUCAAGUCGAGGAGACCUGUGGGUGACCUGUACAUGCAGGACCAUGUUAGCCUUUAAUUUAGGUAGAUAUCACUAAAUUCCCGUAUGGGUGUCUGCCAUAUAUCUCUCCAGGGCCUCAUUGUUCUUCUUUU